GAUAAGAUGGCUGAAAUUUUUAGGCUAUAAAUUGUAAAUUUAUAUAUGGUGAAUGUACCUCUUAUCA
Molecule: transfer RNA, 67 nt
Filed under: Dindymus rubiginosus
Lineage: Eukaryota; Metazoa; Arthropoda; Insecta; Hemiptera; Pyrrhocoridae
Description: tRNA-Tyr
Source: RNAcentral